This is a long non-coding RNA of Hyposmocoma kahamanoa, 409 nucleotides long. RefSeq lists it as uncharacterized. The transcript is spliced from 2 exons. Lineage: Eukaryota; Metazoa; Arthropoda; Insecta; Lepidoptera; Cosmopterigidae. The record is from RefSeq and is a predicted model, not a curated record.
GUGUUCCCUGUACGACAUCCUCCCUCCCUCUAUCCCUCGUCCUACUUCCUUUAAAUGCCUUUUGACUCUAUCCUCUCACCCAAAAAUGUAUCAUAUUCUUUUUAAAUUCAUGCAUAUAAAUAAUAUUAAACUAAUUCAAUUUGUGCAAAAAUCUCUUCGAUUCUCCCUCUGAGUCACCGAACAAAAUUCUAAUACACCCUCCAUAACGUUUAUGAAUCUAUAAAACGGACACUGGCAGAAUUGAGUAUAAGUAGUUUCACAAGCCAUUCAUAACGAAAAAAAAACCGCAAGCUUUUAUUUUGUUCACAAACGUGUAUUUUUAUUAGCAUCUAAUAGUUUGUAAUUUACUUUUACAGGAUAUUGUUACAAACUAAUUCAUGUGUAAUAGUUUGGUAUAUACAAAAUAAAG